CAUGUCUUUUUGAUUAUAAUUUAAGGUUUAAUCUGCUCAAUGAGGAUUUAAAUUGCCGCGGUAUUUUGACCGUGCAAAGGUAGCAUAAUAAUUAGUUUUUUUAUUGAAAGCUGGAAUGAAUGAUUGGACGAGAAAACUACUGUCUCUUUUUAAUUAAUUUUUUAAUUUAACUUUUAAGUAAAAAGGCUUAAAUUUUUUUUAAAGACGAGAAGACCCUAUAGAGUUUAAUAUUAGUUUUGAUUAGAGAUUUUUGGAAUAUUUUUGUUUUUAAUUUUUUCUAUUAUUUGGUUGGGGUGACCAGAAGAAUUAUUUAACUCUUCUAUUUUUAUAUCAAUGAUUUUUGAAUUUUUAAUCUAAUGUUUUUAAAUUUAAGAUAAAUUACCUUAGGGAUAACAGCGUAAUUUCUUUUUAGAGUUCUUAUUAAAAUUGAAGUUUGCGACCUCGAUGUUGGAUUAAAAUUUAUUAUUGGUGCAGAAGCUGAAUAAUUAAGUCUGUUCGACUUUUAAAAUUUUACAUGAUCUGAGU
RNAcentral lists this ribosomal RNA (525 nucleotides) under Elater sp. UPOL RK0013. RNAcentral describes it as "partial 16S ribosomal RNA". It matches the Rfam family "Archaeal large subunit ribosomal RNA", at positions 1957 to 2679 of the family's 2987-position model. Lineage: Eukaryota; Metazoa; Arthropoda; Insecta; Coleoptera; Elateridae. The record is from RNAcentral.